Molecule: long non-coding RNA, 1020 nt
Organism: Heterocephalus glaber (naked mole-rat)
Lineage: Eukaryota; Metazoa; Chordata; Mammalia; Rodentia; Bathyergidae
Source: Ensembl
GCAAUGAUAGAAAAGUAACAAGACACCAUGCUACAAAGAGGAAUAGUUUACUACACCCAGGCUUAUUUUUUGUCUCAGCCUUCUGUCCCUCUACAAUGGUCCCUGUCUGAAGGAUACCAGACGCCCUCAGGACAGCACACUGGCCCUGCCUCCUCUUAUCCAUCCUCUCCACUGCAACCAGUGAGACCAUCCCAGUCACCAGUAGGAUACUCAGCUCUGGUGAGAAAAUGGAUGCUCCAUGAGCCUAGGAGGAUAAAUAAUUUGCCCAGUGGAGCACAGCUGAUAUCUAGGAGAAAGGGGAUUUGAAUCCAGGUAUGUAAUGGACAAUGUAUGACAUUUCCACUAUAGCAGAACAAAUUCAAUAAAAAUUCAUUGUAUCUACCUGGAUCCAUCACACACAUUCAGUAAACUUCUCUUAUGUAAAAGUGUCAGGCUAUACAGGUUAUGUAGGGAGAAGAGAGUGGAAAAUAAAUGGCGCCUUCCCAGAAGAAAUUUCUUCAUCUCACAGGAAGCUAAAACCAGAUAGUUCAUAAAUUAAAGUGGAAAUUCAGGAAGUUCAAGGGACACUCUGAAAGCUCUUUACCUGCCUACUGAAGAAGCUCCAUAACAGUGUUAUGAACUUGGACUCUGAUAACCCUAGGUAAGUUUUGCUCUUCUUCUCAUUUUUUGUUUUUAGUCAGAGAAUGAAGGUAGUCAUAGUACCUCUUGUAUGGGCUUGCUGUGAAGGUAAAAUGGAUUGAUACAUGUAAUAUACUUAGAACAGUGGAGGCAUGUAACUCAUAAAGGUUAGUUUUUGUGUAUAUUGGCUGUCUAUUGUGGUAAAAAACAAACAAACCUGAGGUGAGGCAACUUAUAAGGAGAAAAGGUUUGUUCUGACUUACAUUUUUGUAGGGUUUAGUCCGUAACACACCGGCCUCAUUGCUUUGGCCCUGAGGCAGCAGAUCCUGGUGGGAGAACAUGUGGUACAGCAAAGCCACUCACCUCAUGCACCAGACAUGAAGGAGACAGGAAGAAGAGGAG